This 253-nucleotide ribosomal RNA is filed under the name uncultured bacterium. Its description in RNAcentral is "partial 16S ribosomal RNA". It matches the Rfam family "Bacterial small subunit ribosomal RNA", at positions 524 to 776 of the family's 1533-position model. The record is from RNAcentral.
UACGAAGGGGGCUAGCGUUGCUCGGAAUCACUGGGCGUAAAGCGCACGUAGGCGGAUUGUUAAGUCAGGGGUGAAAUCCUGGAGCUCAACUCCAGAACUGCCUUUGAUACUGGCGAUCUCGAGUCCGGGAGAGGUGAGUGGAACUGCGAGUGUAGAGGUGAAAUUCGUAGAUAUUCGCAAGAACACCAGUGGCGAAGGCGGCUCACUGGCCCGGUACUGACGCUCAUGUGCGAAAGCGUGGGGAGCAAACAGG